This 240-nucleotide long non-coding RNA is filed under the name Bos taurus (domestic cattle). RNAcentral describes it as "long non-coding RNA NONBTAT025043". The record is from RNAcentral. Lineage: Eukaryota; Metazoa; Chordata; Mammalia; Artiodactyla; Bovidae.
CAAAUUUACAGCUGUCACAAGACACAGUUAAUAAGUCCAGAGAAAUAAUUUUCCAAUUUUUCCCUUUUUCUUUAUUCUAUUCAUUCUGUCAUACACAAGAAAAAUAAAACUUAUAAAUUAGACUUGUCUCCAAUAACAAACUCUGAUCAUAAACUAAAAAUCCUAUAUCUAUUUUCUCACUGAAUUAAAACUAAAUUUUGAUUGAUCUAAGCCAGCUGACUAGAUUCAUUAGAGUUUCAG